Camelina sativa (false flax) is the source of this 826-nucleotide long non-coding RNA. RefSeq lists it as uncharacterized. The record is from RefSeq and is a predicted model, not a curated record. Lineage: Eukaryota; Viridiplantae; Streptophyta; Magnoliopsida; Brassicales; Brassicaceae.
UGUCGAAAACGGAAAUAAAAAAUUGACAAAUUGAUUUUCUUUCUCUUCCUCUCCUUCUCCCUCUAUCUCUCUCUCGAUCGAACUCGCAAUGGAAUCAAAGGAGAUGAAAUCAAAAGAGAUGGAAUUAGGGUUUCUGUGGAAUCCAAUGCUAACAUCGGUGGCUAACAUCACUCUCUGUUUUCCGAUUGCGUUGUUUCCAUCAUCCACGUUCCAUUCUCAUUGACCUCAUCAAUUCUCCAAAACAAAUUUCAAGAAACGGGACAUGGGUCUGCGAAAGGGGAAGACUUUAUGUGAAAUCAGAGGCGAAAACGGAUGAAGCAUCACAAAAAUCUACUACGGUAUCUUGUGAUACGAGCAGCAAGUCAUCUAGCUUCUUGUCUUCUCUUUGUCCACUGCUUAAAGUUUUCUCUGUUCCUUACUUUGUUCUUGGGGUUAGGAAUAACGAUUUGGGGUUUUCUUUGAUUGGUACACGACGAUGGUGAACAAACCUCGAAACUGCAGAGAGAGUAUGAUGGAGAGUAAGAAAGAAGAAGGUGAAGAAGAAGAAGAAGAAGAAGCAAUUGGAUUGAGAGUAAAGAAAGCGGUUUUGUUUCCGCAAGAAGCAGAGAAAGAACUGUGGCCGGAGAACUACAAUAUCUCCGAUCAUGCUUGUCUGACCGUACAAUUUUCUCCUGUCAAAAUGCUUUGUAGCUAAGUUUUGUUUGUUACCGGCUCUUUGUGAAAAAAAAUGUAAAGAAUCACUGAGAGUGAGAAUUGCACUGAGAGAAGAUUACAAAACCUUAAACCUUUGUAAUUUUGUAUAGUUUUUCUUUUUAUAAUUGCAUCA